UCUGACCUCAUUAUUUACUGAUCGUGUUACGGUACAUGUUAUAAGCUGAUGGAUAUCAUACAAUUGGUAGGUGCAGUAAUAGAUAAAUACAAUAGUGUCUAUUGGUUUGUAGUUUAUGUGCUCCCUUUACUUUUUUUUCUCUUGAGUUGUUAUAUGCAAAGUGACAAGUUUAGCGCACAUAACACGUGCUAAAAGGAAUUGUAAGUAAACCCGUAAAAAUGUCGAUUAUCAAAUAUGUGAUGUCAAUGAGAACUCAAAUUAUCUAGUUAAUACCAAAAUGUCGAAUACGAAAACGAUACUCGUUUAUUGGUUUCAUUCUUUAUGAAAUUAAUGUUCUUCUACAAAAGUCUUUCAUCAUAGGUUUCCUGCGAUUGGGCUAAAUUGUUAUUUCAAUGCCUCAGAAAUAUUAUGUUUAAACGAAGUACCGAUAUGUAAGUUCUGAGAACAUAGUUAUUGUCUCUAGAUAAAUGGUUCAUAAUGGGAACAGUAUAUAACUUGCAAUUUGUUUUACAUACACUUUCCAAAUUUAUUUCUUUAUAUCUAAUGCAAGAAAUAUAAAGUAAGAGAAUGAAAUUACAUGUCAAAAACAUUGUGUGCCGAACCUUUAUGUUAAGUAGGGAUUUGAUCCAGUUAAAAAAGGUUAACAACCAAUGUGUCAGAAGCUGUCCUACUGAAUUUUAGACCCCCGUAACAUAAAGGUGUCCAUAUUUUAAGUUAAAACUGGUAGUCUUUUCUAUAAUUUUGAUAUUAUUUGUCCCUAUAGUAGUACACUACACUUUAAAAAAAAAUUAAUAUAGAGGAGUUGCUUAUUCUUUUAAUUUGAGUUUAAUGUCUUAAAGAAAUGCUUUAUGAAAGAACUGUGUUCUCGGGCCAUAUGAACGAUUAAGCGUUCCAAUUUUUGCAAUAUAUAUCCUAUAUAAUUACCAAAUGUAACUUACUGUGGAUUCACUUAUGUCCAUGAAUUGCUGAAAACUUGCAUUUUCGUAGAUAUUUGAAUUCGUGAUUUUGCCCAUCUCUGCAUUUAAAGUAGUGGGGGAUAUUAUGGACAUAAUUGUGCAAAUCGUGAUACAAGCAUGAAAUUUGGUAUAAAGGUUAACUAAAUGAUACUUAUAAAAAAUCCGCUGCUGGCCAGAAAAAAAAUCAAUUUUUCAAAAUGGCCACCACACAUUUUGGAAAUGGCUCAUUACAAAUUGGCAAUACUUCGUUAAUCCUUUGAAAGGUGUGUUAUAUGUAAAAUUCAAUGUUAGAUUUGAUAAAAAGUAAAUGACAGUUCCUUAAUUACGACUAGACAAUACAUUACUGAAACUAAAGGUGACUUCCGGUUUCAAAAUGCCGGCAAAAAAGUCAAAAAUUUUUAUACUUUCAAGCAUCUUCACAUGGGAUAUAAAUCCUUGAAAAAUGUGUUAGAGGUAUAAUCCAA
RNAcentral lists this long non-coding RNA (1420 nucleotides) under Mytilus galloprovincialis (Mediterranean mussel). The record is from RNAcentral. Lineage: Eukaryota; Metazoa; Mollusca; Bivalvia; Mytilida; Mytilidae.